RNAcentral lists this ribosomal RNA (418 nucleotides) under Pristimantis pulvinatus group sp. ABGD cluster 227. RNAcentral describes it as "partial large subunit ribosomal RNA". It matches the Rfam family "Bacterial large subunit ribosomal RNA", at positions 1836 to 2457 of the family's 2925-position model. Lineage: Eukaryota; Metazoa; Chordata; Amphibia; Anura; Strabomantidae. The record is from RNAcentral.
CUUGUAAUCAUAAGAGGUCUAGCCUGCCCAGUGAUUUUAUUCAACGGCCGCGGUAUUCUAACCGUGCGAAGGUAGCGUAAUCACUUGUUUUCUAAAUAAAGACCAGUAUGAAAGGCAUCACGAGGACUUAGCUGUCUCCUUUCUCCAAUCAGUGAACCUAAUCUCCCCGUGAAGAAGCGGGGAUCCUAUUAUAAGACGAGAAGACCCCGUGGAGCUUAAAACAUUAUAACAAUUGCCACCACUAUAACCAUCCUGAUUGUUCCCCCGACGGCACCCUGAUUAUACGUUUUUGGUUGGGGUGACCGCGGAGAAAAACUCAUCCUCCACAAUGAAAGGAAAUUCCCGCCCUAAACAACAAGUUACAACUUUAUGUAUCAAAAAAUUGACAUUCAUUGACCCAAUAAAUUGAUUAACGAAC